This 253-nucleotide ribosomal RNA is filed under the name uncultured bacterium. RNAcentral describes it as "partial 16S ribosomal RNA". It matches the Rfam family "Bacterial small subunit ribosomal RNA", at positions 524 to 776 of the family's 1533-position model. The record is from RNAcentral.
UACAGAGGGUGCGAGCGUUAAUCGGAAUUACUGGGCGUAAAGCGCACGUAGGCGGCUUGGUAUGUCGGGUGUGAAAUCCCCGGGCUCAACCUGGGAACUGCAUCCGAAACUGCAUUGCUAGAGUAUGGGAGAGGGAAGCGGAAUUUCUGGUGUAGCAGUGAAAUGCGUAGAUAUCAGAAGGAACAUCAGUGGCGAAGGCGGCUUCCUGGACCAAUACUGACGAUCAGGUGCGAAAGCGUGGGGAGCAAACAGG